CCUACGGGAGGCUGCAGUGAGGAAUAUUGGUCAAUGGGCGGGAGCCUGAACCAGCCAAGUCGCGUGAGGGAAGACGGUCCUAUGGAUUGUAAACCUCUUUAGGCGGGGAGCAAUGCCGGGCACGCGUGCCCGGAGGGAGAGUACCCGCAGAAUAAGCAUCGGCUAACUCCGUGCCAGCCGCCGCGGUAAUACGGAGGAUGCGAGCGUUAUCCGGAUUUAUUGGGUUUAAAGGGUGCGUGGGCGGCUUUUUAAGUCAGCGGUAAAAUGUGCGGGCGCAACCCGGGCCGGCCGUUGAAACUGGGGGUCUUGAGUGGGCGAGAAGUAGGCGGAAUGCGUGGUGUAGCGGUGAAAUGCAUAGAUAUCGCGCAGAACUCCGAUUGUGAAGGCAGCAUACCGGCGCCCGACUGACGCUGAGGCACGAAAGCGUGGGGAUCGAACAGGAUUAGAUACCCUUGUAGUC
RNAcentral lists this ribosomal RNA (460 nucleotides) under uncultured bacterium. Its description in RNAcentral is "partial 16S ribosomal RNA". It matches the Rfam family "Bacterial small subunit ribosomal RNA", at positions 338 to 795 of the family's 1533-position model. The record is from RNAcentral.